RNAcentral lists this ribosomal RNA (117 nucleotides) under Cellulomonadaceae bacterium. Lineage: Bacteria; Bacillati; Actinomycetota; Actinomycetes; Micrococcales; Cellulomonadaceae. The record is from RNAcentral.
UACGGCGGCCACAGCGUAGGGGAAACGCCCGGACCCAUACCGAACCCGGAAGCAAAGCCCUACAGCGCCAAUGGUACUGCCCCGGCCACGGAGUGGGAGAGUAGGACGCCGCCGAAC